Molecule: non-coding RNA, 85 nt
Submitted as: unclassified sequences
Source: Rfam
CGUCUCCGCGGCUGCGAUAAGGCACGGUUCAUAUCCCGGCCGCCCGGACCGUGCAUAGCUACUGGCGAGCCCGCCAGCAUCGAGG